Molecule: regulatory RNA element, 85 nt
Organism: Photobacterium profundum SS9
Lineage: Bacteria; Pseudomonadati; Pseudomonadota; Gammaproteobacteria; Vibrionales; Vibrionaceae
Rfam family: c-di-GMP-I riboswitch aptamer
About the family: GEMM was predicted in a large-scale screen for bacterial structured RNA regulatory elements. Genes associated with GEMM are involved in a diverse array of functions, including chemotaxis regulation, signal transduction, secretion and chitin.
Source: Rfam
CCACAUUGUUGGCAAACUAUCCUAAAGGGUAGGACGCAAAGCUUCCGGUCUGUCGACGUCAGUCUAUGAUAGCGGGGUUACCGUC